UACGGGGGGAGCAAGCGUUGUUCGGAUUUACUGGGCGUAAAGAGCGCGCAGGCGGUCGGAUAAGUCGAAUGUGAAAGCCCCUGGCUCAACCAGGGAGGGUCAUUCGAUACUGUUCGACUCGAAGGCAGGAGAGGUUGGUGGAAUUCCGAGUGUAGAGGUGAAAUUCGUAGAUAUUCGGAGGAACACCAGAAGCGAAGGCGGCCAACUGGCCCGAUACUGACGCUGAGGCGCGAAAGCGUGGGGAGCAAACAGG
Molecule: ribosomal RNA, 253 nt
Filed under: uncultured bacterium
Lineage: Bacteria
Description: partial 16S ribosomal RNA
Rfam family: Bacterial small subunit ribosomal RNA
Source: RNAcentral